Small nucleolar RNA from Rhododendron vialii, 104 nucleotides. Lineage: Eukaryota; Viridiplantae; Streptophyta; Magnoliopsida; Ericales; Ericaceae. The record is from RefSeq and is a predicted model, not a curated record.
UAGCAUGGUGAGGACACGUCCUAAGAAGGUCAUUGAAUCUCUCCCAAGAUUCAUGAAACUGUUCUCCAUCAUGUUGGGUAAAUCCGGUGAUCUCUUGUCUGUGA